RNAcentral lists this ribosomal RNA (484 nucleotides) under uncultured bacterium. RNAcentral describes it as "partial 16S ribosomal RNA". It matches the Rfam family "Bacterial small subunit ribosomal RNA", at positions 30 to 507 of the family's 1533-position model. The record is from RNAcentral.
AUUGAACGCUGGCGGCAGGCCUAACACAUGCAAGUCGAGCGGAUGAAGGGAGCUUGCUUCUGGAUUCAGCGGCGGACGGGUGAGUAAUGCCUAGGAAUCUGCCUGGUAGUGGGGGAUAACGUCCGGAAACGGGCGCUAAUACCGCAUACGACCUGAGGGAGAAAGUGGGGGAUCUUCGGACCUCACGCUAUCAGAUGAGCCUAGGUCGGAUUAGCUAGUUGGUGGGGUAAAGGCCUACCAAGGCGACGAUCCGUAACUGGUCUGAGAGGAUGAUCAGUCACACUGGAACUGAGACACGGUCCAGACUCCUACGGGAGGCAGCAGUGGGGAAUAUUGGACAAUGGGCGAAAGCCUGAUCCAGCCAUGCCGCGUGUGUGAAGAAGGUCUUCGGAUUGUAAAGCACUUUAAGUUGGGAGGAAGGGCAGUAAGUUAAUACCUUGCUGUUUUGACGUUACCAACAGAAUAAGCACCGGCUAACUUCGUG